UACGAAGGGGGCUAGCGUUGCUCGGAAUCACUGGGCGUAAAGCGCACGUAGGCGGAUCUUUAAGUCAGGGGUGAAAUCCCAAGGCUCAACCUUGGAACUGCCUUUGAUACUGGGGAUCUCGAGUCCGGAAGAGGUUGGUGGAACUGCGAGUGUAGAGGUGAAAUUCGUAGAUAUUCGCAAGAACACCAGUGGCGAAGGCGGCUCACUGGCCCGAUACUGACGCUGAGGUGCGAAAGCGUGGGGAGCAAACAGG
RNAcentral lists this ribosomal RNA (253 nucleotides) under uncultured bacterium. Its description in RNAcentral is "partial 16S ribosomal RNA". It matches the Rfam family "Bacterial small subunit ribosomal RNA", at positions 524 to 776 of the family's 1533-position model. The record is from RNAcentral.